Molecule: ribosomal RNA, 492 nt
Filed under: uncultured bacterium
Lineage: Bacteria
Description: partial 16S ribosomal RNA
Rfam family: Bacterial small subunit ribosomal RNA
Source: RNAcentral
AUUGAACGCUGGCGGCAUGCUUUACACAUGCAAGUCGAACGGUAACAGGCCUUCGGGUGCUGCCGAGUGGCGAACGGGUGCGUAAUGCUUCGGAACGUACCCAGAGGUGGGGGUUAACGCAGCGAAAGCUGUGCUAAUACCGCAUGUGAUCUGAGGAUGAAAGCGGGGGACAGCGCGGCAAUGUUUGGCCUCGCGCCUUUGGAGCGGCCGAUGUCGGAUUAGCUAGUUGGUGGGGUAAAGGCCUACCAAGGCGACGAUCCGUAGCUGGUCUGAGAGGACGACCAGCCACACUGGGACUGAGACACGGCCCAGACUCCUACGGGAGGCAGCAGUGGGGAAUUUUGGACAAUGGGCGCAAGCCUGAUCCAGCAAUGCCGCGUGCGUGAAGAAGGCCUUCGGGUUGUAAACCGCUUUUGUCAGGAACGAAACGGUGUCCGCUAAUACCGGGCGCUAAUGACGGUACCUGCAGAAUAAGCACCGGCUAACUACGUG